UAUCUCUCCGUACGGGGAAGGAUGAGAAGCUUCGACCAAGGUUCGAUUCGAGCGCAGCGAGAAAGCGUUGCCGUAGGCAACGACCCGAAGG
Molecule: small RNA, 91 nt
Filed under: Salmonella enterica
Lineage: Bacteria; Pseudomonadati; Pseudomonadota; Gammaproteobacteria; Enterobacterales; Enterobacteriaceae
Description: partial RtT sRNA
Rfam family: RtT RNA
About the family: This family represents a bacterial cis-regulatory element known as RtT RNA. The exact function of RtT is unknown although it is thought that it may be involved in changing the cellular response in relation to amino acid starvation.
Source: RNAcentral